This 7698-nucleotide long non-coding RNA is filed under the name Homo sapiens (human). RNAcentral describes it as "HSALNT0230647". Lineage: Eukaryota; Metazoa; Chordata; Mammalia; Primates; Hominidae. The record is from RNAcentral.
GCGAGGCGGGUGGCGCGCGGCAGCAGGGUUGGGCUCUCGCCGUGAGUCGACGAAGGGAGCGCGGGCGCGCGCCCGCGUCCGCGCACUGAGAGUCGCCUCGGCCGCUCGCUUUCUCGACUCCCGCCUCGCGCCUCGAUCCUGUUCCGCCUCCCUCGGCCCUCCUGCCCGCCCCCACUCGUCGGCCCUCAGGUUCCUGGAAAGUGAAAAUUUCAUUUCUUUGUGGACAGGUACCUAAAAUGUCUCAUUAUUCAUCAAUUAAUGAAAAACAAAUGAAAAUUUGAGAGAGAUAUUCUGAAGAAUAAAAGGAUCAAGUUGGGUCAUUUCUAAAAUCUCAGAGACCUAAUAGGAUGGGGUCUUAGAGAAACAUCUUUUGAGCCACAGACUUCUUUGUUACCAGAAGGAAAAUGAAAGAAGAAAUUUAAAUACCACUUGAAGAGAGUUUCCUCAUCAGCAAAGUCAGAAAAAGUAUGUACCUGAAGGACUGAUUGUAAGGCUGGGAUGAGAGAAUCCAUGUGAUCAGCCCUCACCAACAGGUGCUGCCCAGUUCAUGAGUGCUGCUGCUGUCCUGCCCAAGUACCCAGCUUGCAGAGUGCCAGAGUUAGAGUCCCAGGGGUGUUCUCCACAGCUGCAUGCUUGAUCCAGGCCUAUCAGGUGUUAUUUGUUGACGGAACCAGGCAUCAUCAGCAAACAAAACUGACAAAGCUUCCUGCCCUCUGUGGAAGGCAUCUGAGGAAGAGACUGGAUUUUGUAGCAACAUGUUAUUCUCAUUAUAAACUUUAUCAUUGGAAUACUAAAGCCAAAUCAUCCCCCAUCUCCUUGAUCAGGAUACCCACUUAAUCUAGGCAGCUACACAAUUGUGAGAGCCUUUGUUUUUUUCUGCUGAAACAUCCUUAAAAAGAUACCUCACAACCCAAGAUUUGGCUUUUCUUAAAUACGAUUUUUAAUUUUUUUCAUUUCUAUCUAGAGAUUUAAUUGGAAAUGGAAAAUCAUCAAUUUUCCAAUUAAAUGUCUGUUCCAAUCAACAUUAUACCUUUUAGGUUGUCAUUGUCAUUUUUAAGUUUAAGCAACUUUAAGGAUUUUGAAUCUGGCUGCCUGUAAAUUAAAGGUGAAAGUAAUCAUUGUGUUGGAUUGGAACAUUUUGUCAAUUGAGAGUGGUUUCCUUGUUCUUAGUGUAUGAAAAGUUUAUUUUUCUAAUGUAGAUUAAUAAAGGAGAUAAAGAAAAACAAAAUGAGUGAUUUAUGUGUGUGAGAAAAGAACCAUUUCCUCAAGGAUUAAAUAAAAUUCAUACCUUUUGUUUCUUUUGAAAAGUUUUUAAAAUAAAUUUUAAUGAAUGUGUCCUUUAAAUAUUCCUUUAAAAAUGUAUCCUAUUUUAAAAUGGACUCUCUGAGAGAAGGAAUUGAUACCUGUGUUUAAAAUCAAAAAUAGCAUGCAUAGAGACUGUUUUUCUAGUUGGUUGAAGCUUUUUUCCCUCUCCUUUACAUCAGUGAACCAGCAUCUUGCCCUUCAGACCCUACAGCACACUCUUGGGCUCAUGAAGUGUAUGACACAUCCUCCUUGGGGGAUCGGCCAUGUCCUCGCUCUCAUGACCACAUGAAUUCUUCUGUAUGUCUUUUCUCACAGCUGAGUACUCUCUUCCUGACCCCCUUGUGGAAUGGGGAAAGGAGGCUGUGACAUUGUGCUUGUGCAAACAAUAAUUGAGAGCUUUCCGAGUCUCCUGCAUCUUCAUAAAUGAUUUUUUGUUUUAUGCUGGGACAGUAGUUCUUUAAAUAGAAUAUUCUCCCAUGGAAAUCGCCCACAAUGCUGAGAGUACACCUUGCAAAAGGUAAGUCUAGAAUAUAGGGUGCCUCCUCAGCAUUGCCCAGAAGCUGAAGUUAGGACUCUCUAGAAUACCAAAAACAAAUUUAUAGCAGUUCAUUAAUGUAAGGAAUUAUGAAAACUGUGUGCCACCAUUAUCCAUAGAUGAAACAAGAGCCACCACGCAAGCACAGACACAAAGCCCUGAAGAUGAAGCCAUUGACAGGGCUCUCAUUUAUUCUGUAGAAACCCACUUGCCUGUUUUUGAACCAGUUUUCUUUGGAGCAUAUGUCUCACUGUGCAACCAAAGUGGUGUUUAUAUCCUAGUCACUUGGCAAAAAUUCUGUCAUUGCUUCAGGGAGAUCCAUUUUAGGCCUGAAGCAUGGAGCUGGUAAUAGAUGGGAUUUGGUACUUCUGAAGAAAAGACCCUACUGCAAAUUUAGAGAGUUAAUUUUUUCUUUUGUUCCCCAUAAUAUUGUUGCUAGAUAGAACUACCUUUUUUGACUAGAAGUUAAAUAUAGAGGCCUAAAUCAAUUAGGUAACUCCCACUCAUUCUAAAUGAGAACAUGUUUGUUUUUCUCCAACGAGAUGAGAAAUAUUUGAGGCGCUUCCUGAUAUCUCUAUCACCCACUGCAUUUUUUCACUUGAUGUAUAUUUCCCCAUGUAUUUGGGAUAAUUUUCAAAUAAUUGCCCUUUAGAAAUCUACUUGAUAUUAAAUGUAAAAAAAAAGCAAGAUGCAAAAUUAUUAUAGGAUGCAUUUACAGAAAUUACAAAAUUUCUAUAAACUAUUUAUGGAGGAAGACUUAUAGAGUAUAUGUCAACACAUUGCUUUAUUAUUGUCCUUGGUUAUGAGUAUGGUUUUUUUGAAACCUGCUUUGUACUUUGGGUGUUUUCUCACCAUUGGUACAAUUGAGGCAUUUUUCCCUCUUCUUCAACCUUGCAAAUCACACGUGAGGAUGCUCAUAGAAGUGCCUCUCAGACAGGCUGUUGUUUUGCUUUCACCAAUAAAUCAUUUAUAAUUAGAAGUAGAAAACUAUUCUUUCCAGUGCAAAUACAUCCCUUUCAAAAGCAGUUCUCUUUUUGUGAAUGAUGUCUAGUGUCUAAGAAACGAGGGUAACCUUUAUUAUAUGCAUUGCUCUAAUCGAAGCAUUGUUUUUUGCGGUGAACUCAAGGUUACAUGUUUAAGAAAAGCAUCGGGUUAAUUCCAUUAGGAAAAGUGUCUUAUUCAUAAACCUUUAGCCACUGGAAAAACACCAUUAGGAGGCCACACAAGUGUGUAUAGCUGGAUAGAAUUUGACAACUGGCAAAACAAAACAAUAGCCUACAAUUGCAGAGUGCUGUCUGUUUAAAAACCAACAUAUCUUUCACCAACAAAUACAUAUUCACCUCAACACGAGACUUUCAUGUGGUUAUUAAUAUCAAAUUUUUGAAUGUCCAAAUUUUGGAGUGUAGUCUAGCAGAGGUAAACUGAUUUGCCUAAGGUCCUUCAACUGUCAGAGGUAGAAUUAUUUUCUCUCUCCUGGCUCUAAAACCUGUCCAGAUUCUCCUGCAACACUGUCCUUCAAAAACACACUUCCGCUGACUCCAGUGCUGGUGAUGUCAUGCUUUAGCUAGUAGUUAGAGGUGACUUAACUUUAAAUAUGGAAUCUUUUUUUCCUAUUAAGCAAUGAGGUUUAGUUUGAAAAUUCUUAGAGAUGAUAAACCCCUCUCCUUUUUUUCUUCCUUCUCCUCUUUUGUCCUGAACAAUGUUCCAUAUAUAUUACUGCCAGAAACAGAUUCUUGACAUUCCUGUUAUGCUUUUCCACAUCUUGUAAUCAUUUCUACAGCUGUUAGCAUUGCCAACAAUUAUAUUUCCACUUUUAAAAAAUUGUUACAAAGAUGCAGAGAGAAAAGAGGAAAGCCAAGGAAUAAACUACAGGCAAUUAUGGGAUAUUUUUGUGAUGUGACAUUUUGGGAACUGAGGCAGCAUCACUGAUACUGCACUACUUUUUAAUAUCUAGAUUUUAAUCUUUUGUAUGAAGAUAAAAUUCACAUGCCUUAAACCUGACCACAACAUAAUAGGGCAUUUAUUUUUCUAAUUUUGAUACCAUCCACAUUUCUUAACUAUAAGAAGAAUGCUUAUGUUGUACCAGGUUAUAUGAUGUUGCCAAGAAGUAGAUGUGUACCAUUUACUAAUACAUCCUUUUGGAAAAUGCGUAUUAAUAACAUAUUAAGGAGUAAAUUGACGUUGUGCAAAGUGAGCCUGUGAGUUUAAAUGUAUGGAUUGUACACCUUGCUCUUCCUAAUUGCAGAUUUAACAGGAUUUGAUGACCUAAUGAGUUUAUUUCUGAAUGAUUUAUAUUUCUUUGUCAGUUCAAUGAUUUAGUAUUUUAAAUUUUUUUAAAUCACAUUUUAUUGAGAUAAUGCUAUUAGUGUUUCUUUCCCAUCACUUAACAAAGUUAAGUCACUCCUCUCCCACCCCACUUUUGUACCUACCAAUGUUUUUUUCACAGUUACAGGCUGAUUGGCUUGACGUGUCUUAGGAUACCACCCAAAGAGAGCUUCAUUUUAUAAAUACCAAGCUCAUUUUCCUAAAUAUUUUCAAAAAGAUAGAUUUAUCCUCAUAUAGUAAAUUCAGAUUAAUAAUUUUGGAAAGGGUCAUGUGACCAUGGUAUUACAUGGCUGUGGAAGACCCUCCAAGAUCUUGUUUUGGGAUAGAAGGACUCAGACAUCCAAACUUUUAAAUUAAUGAACUUAUUAAAUUCUAAAACUUUGUAACAGUGUUAAUUUGAGAAGUAUAAUAUUUUGCUUAAGGUCUGUUUUGCUUUGCAAAAUGCAUCUCCUUCAUUUUCAUAUUAUGUUGGAAGCUUAGCAUGAAAGAACGUGCCUCAGAGGAAACCAUAGGUAAGCAUACUUUAACAAAAGUUAGUGUCAUCAUGUUUGUGUCUUUGCCUGUGGUUUUUUAAAUGUAUAAUGUUUAACGUUGAUUUGGCUAUCAAAUUACAUUUUCUUUUGUUAAAAAAUUCUGUAAAUUAGAAAUGUACUGAAUCAUUUAUUUAGCAGACUGAAGGUGGGUAAUGUUGGCUGAACAGGUUUAAGCCACAGUAAUUUGAAAAUGUAAAUACAUAAAAUAAUGUCAUUUCUCUUCCACUCAAUGUUUCUUCACCAAAUAAAGUCCAGCCUGCUCUGAAUUUGUUGCCAGUAGGAACAAUGUUACAGUGAAUCAUGGUUUAAUAUACCUUGAAAAUGGCACAUCUGUUCUGUGAUAGCUUACCAAUUUUAGCCUCUUUAUAAAAUACGAAGAGUUUGUCAACCAGAAUAAUCUAGAACCUGGCAAUUCAAAUACCAUUCAAAGCAAAUGUUUUAUCUAAUAACUGGAACUAAAUGUUAGGCCUCAUGACAGUUCAAUAUUUACUAAAUAAGUUUAAUAACAGGGUAAGCCCUCAGUAUCCAGAGCAGAGACAAGCACACCAUAUUUACACAUACAAAUUCUGCCUUUAGCCAUCUGAAAGGGCCCCGAACUAUUGCAGCAAGCAAAGAGUCUUUGCAUUGUCCUAAAAUCCAUACAAUACUUUAUAUUUUACACAUUUUAAUAGCUAGUUUAACAAAUAACAAGUACCAUGCUUAAUUCUCUGCAUGCAUUAUUUCAACUAAUUAUUGGAAUAAUCUUAUAAAGUGGGUACUUUCGUCUCAGCUUACAGGUGAGAAAACAAAAGUUAAAUAGAUCGCCCAGGGCUCUGCUGGAACGUGUUAAGCAGGGAUUUCAGCCUGUCCAGUCAGACCCCAGAAGUUGUGUUCUUAACCAUUAGCAACACAUCAUCCCAGGCAGGCCCUACAUGAGCCUCAUAACCAAUUUUAUGCUGGAUAGUAUUAUCCCUAUUUCACAGAUGGCAAAACUGAGGUCCAGAGACUUUAAGUGACCUACCCAAAAUUACAGUCAUGAGCAGAGGCACUGGAAUGUAGGGCCUUGACACUCUACCUCACGUGGUCCUCUUUCCUGUUUUGGGUAGUUCUCCACUACCACUACUCAUUUCUGAUGCUGGAAAGGCUGUGUUUUAUACAUUUCUGUUUCUGGCUUGGAACGAAACACUCUGGGUCUCUGCUUGAUCAGUGUCCCCUCUAAACUGCACCUCACUACAGUAGGGAUGGCAUAAGAUACUUCUUUACACAGCAUCUUUUUGUUCCCACCUCACCCCCAGAGCUGUAAUAGGUAGAGCCAGCCAAAUGUCAAAGGGAUGAUUUGUCUUGUCACCACUAGUUUCCCUUUUCUCUGCCUUGUAUGUAACAGGAAUAUUCUUUAGUUCCUCCUUAUGUUCUAAAGCACCUCCCCAACCUAAAAAUAGAAGAGGAGUUGUGGGUCAUUUACACUUUAGUGUGAAUUUGCCCUUGUGACUUUGCCAAGGCUGUUGUGCCUAACCCUUUCAAUCUAACAGCAGAAUGAGAGUCUCUGGACUAUCCUGGCUCCUUCCCUGAGAAGAAUGAACUGGGAAUUGUUGGUCUAGACAUCAAGACUACCAGAGACCUAUUGCUCAGAGAUGUUUGGGCUGUACAAUUUCUGUAGAUAUGGCAUCUGGAGCAGCCUUUUCUAAGCAAUGGCAUUAUCAUUCCAGGCUCUCUCGCUCUUUCCAUCUCUCCACCAGGUGGACUCUUGCCCUCCACCCCUUCCAAUUUGUCAGUGAUUCAGAGAACAUUCUCCAUCCUUCCAAUGAUUACAUUCCUUCAUCUUGCUGGGGCGCCAAUUCAGUGAUGGAGCGGCUCUUGGGAGCAGCCUUGGCUUAUAGUGCAGCUCUCUGCUACCUUCAACAGGCUGGUAUUCGGGGUGCUUAGAUGUGACUGGUUGUACGCACGUGUGUGUAUGUGCAUGUGUGUACAGCAGUAAGAGCUUUCGAGGUAGAUACUUGAGGAAGCCUCAGACAUCUAGCCCCAUUACUGGGGCAAUGUCUUACUUGGGUUUUUCCAGAAACAGACCUGGAGACCAGGAUUCAAGUGCCAGUGGUAUAUUUGGGAUGUGAACCCUGCAAUGCUGGUAGGAGAGUGGAGAAGUGAGGCAAGGAAAGGAAGGCCGUCAAGGGGCGUGUUAGGAGGUCAUUCACCACCGCAGGUAGCCCGCUGGGGACCUCUGGGAGCAAGUGUGGCGCACAAGCCUCAGCAUUACUGCCCUGUGCCUUGAGGAGUAAGGGAUAAGGAUUUUCCCCACCAGUUCCCUGUAGUCCUUGGUGAGAGCUUCUGGGGUGGAGGUUAAGGUCUUUAGGUCAGAGAAAUUUUCUUUAGUUUCGGAAAAAUCUUUCAGGCCGAGGUCCAGACACUCACUGGAACACACUGAAGUGGUUAGGUCCAAGGGCUGUAGGCAGAGCUCCCAUAUCCAUCUGCAGAGGUGUUUCAGGUGGAAGGAGUGGAGACAGCCUUCUCUGCUCCACACUGUCUUCAGCAAGGGUUUCUGUAUCUGUGCAUUGAGGAUUAAAUUAUUCACAUGGUCAGAGAAGCCCAUCACCACUGAUAGUUAUUGUAGGUAUGGAAAACUAACGACUAAGAAGGGAGAAAAAUAUACCAAGCAGUUGGCUUGGCUGAACACAAGUAAAGACUCUUACAGUCACUGGUGUGAACUGCUUAUUAUCAAUGUCUGAUUACAGUGCUGCAUACUAAUGAUUAUGCAUGUCAUUAAAUGUGUCAGAUUAACUUUGUUAUAAAAUUUAUGACAACAUUAAAUUUUAUUCACAUGCUCAGCCUUCAUAAUUUAUUGCUUAUGUAGCAUGGUUUUAACUUCAGAAAAACCUCCAAGACAGUGUUGUCUUGAUGACUACACUGCUUAUCCGUGAGUCUAGUUUUCCUGUUCAUUUGAAAUGUUCACAUUACAUUCAGCUCUGUCUCAAGCACUGAGACAGAGCUGGAAUCAGUGCCCAGCGAUUCCACUUGCCGAGUGAUUGA